Molecule: ribosomal RNA, 465 nt
Filed under: Vreelandella stevensii
Lineage: Bacteria; Pseudomonadati; Pseudomonadota; Gammaproteobacteria; Oceanospirillales; Halomonadaceae
Description: partial 16S ribosomal RNA
Rfam family: Bacterial small subunit ribosomal RNA
Source: RNAcentral
CCUACGGGUGGCUGCAGUGGGGAAUAUUGGACAAUGGGCGAAAGCCUGAUCCAGCCAUGCCGCGUGUGUGAAGAAGGCCUUCGGGUUGUAAAGCACUUUCAGUGGGGAAGAAAGCCUUGGGGCUAAUACCCUCGAGGAAGGACAUCACCCACAGAGGAAGCACCGGCUAACUCCGUGCCAGCAGCCGCGGUAAUACGGAGGGUGCGAGCGUUAAUCGGAAUUACUGGGCGUAAAGCGCGCGUAGGCGGUCUGAUAAGCCGGUUGUGAAAGCCCCGGGCUCAACCUGGGAACGGCAUCCGGAACUGUCAGGCUAGAGUGCAGGAGAGGAAGGUAGAAUUCCCGGUGUAGCGGUGAAAUGCGUAGAGAUCGGGAGGAAUACCAGUGGCGAAGGCGGCCUUCUGGACUGACACUGACGCUGAGGUGCGAAAGCGUGGGUAGCAAACAGGAUUAGAUACCCUUGUAGUC